UACGGAAGGGGCUAGCGGUGUUCGGAAUUACUGGGCGUAAAGCGCGCGUAGGCGGCUUACCAAGGUGGGGGUGAAAUCCCGGAGCUCAACUCCGGAACUGCCUUCAAAACUGGUAGGCUCGAGUCCGGAAGAGGGGCGUGGAAUUCCCAGUGUAGAGGUGAAAUUCGUAGAUAUUGGGAAGAACACCGGUGGCGAAGGCGGCGCCCUGGUCCGGUACUGACGCUGAGGCGCGAAAGCGUGGGGAGCAAACAGG
Molecule: ribosomal RNA, 253 nt
Filed under: uncultured bacterium
Lineage: Bacteria
Description: partial 16S ribosomal RNA
Rfam family: Bacterial small subunit ribosomal RNA
Source: RNAcentral